This is a long non-coding RNA of Myotis lucifugus (little brown bat), 601 nucleotides long. RefSeq lists it as uncharacterized. The transcript is spliced from 3 exons. The record is from RefSeq and is a predicted model, not a curated record. Lineage: Eukaryota; Metazoa; Chordata; Mammalia; Chiroptera; Vespertilionidae.
ACUGGUCUUUGUCUCAUUUUGCUGUGCACCAGUGGGAACGUCCCUUUGGACCGUCACUGUCCAUGCUGAUACUUGGAAACCACAUUUCUAGGGACUGAGCGUGCGUAGGGUACAGAGAUCGGCCCCUACAGAGACACCUGACCUGUGGGUUACAGGAGGGGAGCAGAGGGCACUACUGUGACCUUCCGAAUCCAUGAUAAGAAGAGACACAAAGAUGACUGUGAACCAGUGAUUUCCAUUCUCUCCAGUGUGGCCUUGGUGAAUGGUGUCACCUGCCUUUCGGUCCCAUUCUGGGAAGUCCGGGCAUUUGCACGCAUCGCCCACCCAUCAUCACCGCCUGGCUGUGCCCAUGCCCGCAGCUGUCUUAGAGGCAGACAGUGCUGGGACUGGCAGCGACUUGGGAGAUCUCCUGAGGAGGGAUGCUCCCAGCGGCAAGGCAGCACUGGACUCCAACAUGUCUUCUCUCCCCCUGACUCUCAUUCAUUCAUGUUAUGAAUAAAUUCAACAAAUAUUAAAUGUUUGUGGAAUGAACACUACAUUAUUAAUGACUGGUGAAGAGAAUGUGUUAUACCUCCCCGAGGUAUUUGAACACGGAACAAUA